AGUGAACGCUGGCGGUAGGCCUAACACAUGCAAGUCGAACGGCAGCACAGUAAGAGCUUGCUCUUACGGGUGGCGAGUGGAGGACGGGUGAGGAAUACAUCGGAAUCUACUUUUUCGUGGGGGAUAACGUAGGGAAACUUACGCUAAUACCGCAUACGACCUACGGGUGAAAGCAGGGGAUCUUCGGACCUUGCGCGAUUGAAUGAGCCGAUGUCGGAUUAGCUAGUUGGCGGGGUAAAGGCCCACCAAGGCGACGAUCCGUAGCUGGUCUGAGAGGAUGAUCAGCCACACUGGAACUGAGACACGGUCCAGACUCCUACGGGAGGCAGCAUUGGGGAAUAUUGGACAAUGGGCGCAAGCCUGAUCCAGCCAUACCGCGUGGGUGAAGAAGGCCUUCGGGUUGUAAAGCCCUUUUGUUGGGAAAGAAAAGCAGCAGGUUAAUACCCCGCUGUUCUGACGGUACCCAAAGAAUAAGCACCGGCUAACUUCGUG
Molecule: ribosomal RNA, 492 nt
Filed under: uncultured bacterium
Lineage: Bacteria
Description: partial 16S ribosomal RNA
Rfam family: Bacterial small subunit ribosomal RNA
Source: RNAcentral